Bombyx mori (domestic silkworm) is the source of this 84-nucleotide non-coding RNA. The record is from Rfam. NCBI's taxonomy places the organism in Eukaryota, Metazoa, Arthropoda, Insecta, Lepidoptera, Bombycidae.
UUAACUGAAAUUUGUAUGGAGUUGGAACGAUUGUCUAAAUUUGCCACUAGGGGCGUUGUUCCAACUGCAUACUAAUUUGACUUA